CGAUAGAACAACAGGGAUUGCCUUAGUAGCGGCGAGUGAAGCGGCAAAAGCUCAAAUUUGAAAUCUGGCACCUUCGGUGUCCGAGUUGUAAUUUGAAGAUUGUAACCUUGGGGUUGGCUCUUGUCUAUGUUUCUUGGAACAGGACGUCACAGAGGGUGAGAAUCCCGUGCGAUGAGAUGCCCAAUCCUAUGUAAGGUGCUUUCGAAGAGUCGAGUUGUUUGGGAAUGCAGCUCUAAGUGGGUGGUAAAUUCCAUCUAAAGCUAAAUAUUGGCGAGAGACCGAUAGCGAACAAGUACAGUGAUGGAAAGAUGAAAAGAACUUUGAAAAGAGAGUGAAAAAGUACGUGAAAUUGUUGAAAGGGAAGGGUUUGAGAUCAGACUCGAUAUUUUGUGAGCCUUGCCUUCGUGGCGGGGUGACCCGCAGCUUAUCGGGCCAGCAUCGGUUUGGGCGGUAGGAUAAUGGCGUAGGAAUGUGACUUUGCUUCGGUGAAGUGUUAUAGCCUGCGUUGAUGCUGCCUGCCUAGACCGAGGACUGCGAUUUUAUCAAGGAUGCUGGCAUAAUGAUCCCAAACCGCCCGUCUUGAAACACGGACCAAGGAGUCUAACGUCUAUGCGAGUGUUUGGGGUGGAA
This 630-nucleotide ribosomal RNA is filed under the name Meyerozyma caribbica. Its description in RNAcentral is "partial large subunit ribosomal RNA". It matches the Rfam family "Eukaryotic large subunit ribosomal RNA", at positions 56 to 704 of the family's 3401-position model. The record is from RNAcentral. Lineage: Eukaryota; Fungi; Ascomycota; Pichiomycetes; Serinales; Debaryomycetaceae.